RNAcentral lists this ribosomal RNA (460 nucleotides) under uncultured bacterium. RNAcentral describes it as "partial 16S ribosomal RNA". It matches the Rfam family "Bacterial small subunit ribosomal RNA", at positions 338 to 795 of the family's 1533-position model. The record is from RNAcentral.
CCUACGGGAGGCAGCAGUGAGGAAUAUUGGUCAAUGGACGAGAGUCUGAACCAGCCAAGUAGCGUGAAGGAUGACUGCCCUAUGGGUUGUAAACUUCUUUUAUAUGGGAAUAAAACGUUCCACGUGUGGGAUUUUGUAUGUACCAUAUGAAUAAGGAUCGGCUAACUCCGUGCCAGCAGCCGCGGUAAUACGGAGGAUCCGAGCGUUAUCCGGAUUUAUUGGGUUUAAAGGGAGCGUAGGUGGAUUGUUAAGUCAGUUGUGAAAGUUUGCGGCUCAACCGUAAAAUUGCAGUUGAAACUGGCAGUCUUGAGUACAGUAGAGGUGGGCGGAAUUCGAGGUGUAGCGGUGAAAUGCUUAGAUAUCACGAAGAACUCCGAUUGCGAAGGCAGUUCACUGGACUGCAACUGACACUGAGGCUCGAAAGUGUGGGUAUCAAACAGGAUUAGAUACCCGAGUAGUC